GACGAACGCUGGCGGCGUGCUUAACACAUGCAAGUCGAACGGAAAGGCCCUGCUUUUGUGGGGUGCCCGCGUGGCGAACGGGUGUGUAACACGUGAGUAACCUGCCCUUGACUUUGGGACAACUUCAGGAAACUGGGGCUAAUACCGGAUAGGAGCUCCUGCUGCAUGGUGGGGGUUGGACAGUUUCGGCGGUGGGGGGUGGACUCGCGGCUUAUUAGCUGGUUGGUGGGGUAGUGGCUUACCAAGGGUUUGACGGGUAGCCGGCCCGAGAGGGUGAACAGCCACAUUAGGACUGAGGGACGGCGCAGUCUCCUACGGGAGGCGACAGUGGGAAGCAUGGCACAAUGAGGGGGAGUGUGGUACAACAACGUCGCGAGCGGGAAGACGUCCUACUGGUUGUGAACCGCAUUCGCCUGUGACGAAGCGUGAGUGACGGUAAUGAGUAAAGAAGCACCGGCUAACUACGUG
This 468-nucleotide ribosomal RNA is filed under the name uncultured bacterium. RNAcentral's name for it is "partial 16S ribosomal RNA". It matches the Rfam family "Bacterial small subunit ribosomal RNA", at positions 28 to 507 of the family's 1533-position model. The record is from RNAcentral.